GACGAACGCUGGCGGCGUGCUUAACACAUGCCAGUCGAACGGAAAGGCCCUGCUUUUGUGGGGUGCUCGAGUGGCGAACGGGUGAGUAACACGUGAGUAACCUGCCCUUGACUUUGGGAUAACUUCAGGAAACUGGGGCUAAUACCGGAUAGGAGCUCCUGCUGCAUGGUGGGGGUUGGAAAGUUUCGGCGGUUGGGGAUGGACUCGCGGCUUAUCAGCUUGUUGGUGGGGUAGUGGCUUACCAAGGCUUUGACGGGUAGCCGGCCUGAGAGGGUGACCGGCCACAUUGGGACUGAGAUACGGCCCAGACUCCUACGGGAGGCAGCAGUGGGGAAUAUUGCACAAUGGGCGGAAGCCUGAUGCAGCAACGCCGCGUGCGGGAUGACGGCCUUCGGGUUGUAAACCGCUUUCGCCUGUGACGAAGCGUGAGUGACGGUAAUGAGUAAAGAAGCACCGGCUAACUACGUG
RNAcentral lists this ribosomal RNA (468 nucleotides) under uncultured bacterium. Its description in RNAcentral is "partial 16S ribosomal RNA". It matches the Rfam family "Bacterial small subunit ribosomal RNA", at positions 28 to 507 of the family's 1533-position model. The record is from RNAcentral.